This 114-nucleotide ribosomal RNA is filed under the name uncultured bacterium W5-77b. The record is from RNAcentral.
UGGUGAUUAUAGAGAAAGGGGUACACCUGAUCCCAUCCCGAACUCAGAAGUUAAGCCUUUCAUCGCCGAUGGUACUGCACGCAAGAGUGUGGAAGAGUAGGUUGUUGCCAAGUU